GACCGCGUAGCUCAGUUGGCAGAGCAUUGGGCUAGUUUUCCAAAGGUCGUAAGUUCGAUUCCCACCGUGGUCA
This 73-nucleotide transfer RNA is filed under the name Paramuricea clavata. It matches the Rfam family "tRNA". Rfam says of the family: Transfer RNA (tRNA) molecules are approximately 80 nucleotides in length. Their secondary structure includes four short double-helical elements and three loops (D, anti-codon, and T loops). Lineage: Eukaryota; Metazoa; Cnidaria; Anthozoa; Malacalcyonacea; Plexauridae. The record is from Rfam by way of RNAcentral.